Molecule: unclassified non-coding RNA, 638 nt
Filed under: Lafontella mariadeanei
Lineage: Eukaryota; Euglenozoa; Kinetoplastea; Trypanosomatida; Trypanosomatidae
Source: RNAcentral
GGGUACGACCAUACUUGGCUGAAAACACCAUAUCCCGUCCGAUUUGUGAAGUUAGCAGCCACAGGCUUAGUUAGUACUGAGGUCAGUGAUGACUUGGGAACCCUAAGUGCCGUACUCCCACACUCUUUUUUGGCCCGCCACCGUCUUUUUCCUAGGCCGGGAGACCACCCGGUCCAAACGGUGACCUCAAAACUUCCGGUCGGGACGGCGCGUUCACCAGUAGAAAGACUUUUAACUAACGCUAUUAUUGUUACAGUUUCUGUACUUUAUUGGUAUGGGAAGCUUCCAGAACAUCUAGUUCUGGCAAAUUUUGAACGGAAGCCCUCGGGCUUCACUUUUUUUUAUUUUUUUUUACCACGGCCCCUGGGCCCCCCGGAGGGGGGGGGUGGGGGGUCUGGUGGGACCCCCGCCGCCCGGCCCAUAUUGGAGGGAGGGGGCACCCCGAACCACAGAGUGCCCCACGGCGCGAAGGGGGAGGGGGGAGGGGGGGCCCGUUGCGCGGGGGAUGGGGACGGAAAGCCCGCAGGGCUUUCCGCGAUUUUCCCUUUCUUUUUUUUUUUUUUUUUUUUUUUUUUUUUUUUAAAGGCACCCACCCAGGGACCCGAGGCCCAACCCGACCGCCACACACACACACUACU